UUUCCGUAGGUGAACCUGCGGAAGGAUCAAUGCCUAAACAAUCAUUUACAGAGCUGGUCGUAGACCAGGUCUGUGGGUGUGAUGUCUAAUGCGUGUGUGGUGUGGCUGAUUAAUCAAGAGGAGAUAAUGACAGAACUUUUAACAAUGGAUCUCUGGGCUCUU
This 162-nucleotide unclassified non-coding RNA is filed under the name soil metagenome. RNAcentral's name for it is "partial contains small subunit ribosomal RNA, internal transcribed spacer 1, and 5.8S ribosomal RNA". The record is from RNAcentral.